Molecule: long non-coding RNA, 970 nt
Filed under: Canis lupus familiaris (dog)
Lineage: Eukaryota; Metazoa; Chordata; Mammalia; Carnivora; Canidae
Description: lncRNA (ENSCAFG00000058817.1, ENSCAFG00845022958.1)
Source: RNAcentral
AAUGUUCUAAAAUGAAGUUUUGUGGAGCCCAGAGAAAAUAUUUUCUGUGUGAUGCAGAACAUAAAAAAUGAGUUUCCUGUGUUGAAGCAUGUCUUAUAAGAGUGAAACCUCAUAAUUAUGUUUUUUGAGCAAUACUUAUUUAAAAAAAAUAAUAAAGAGAAAAUUUUAGGAAGCAGAUACACAACUAGGGAGAAGAGAAGAAAAAACUGAAAAGACCAAGCCAAUGCCAAGGCCUUGGGGAGAGGGGGAGGGUGAUAUGCAGACCUUCCCUGGUAACCAAAGAUGGGCAAACCCCAACCGCUAAGCGGUGAGGCCACUAGCUGGCCCUCAGAUUGGAGAGUACAAAAACUGAGUGACUGACAAGACGGUGAGCGUCGUGGCCCCGUGCACAAACCCACAGAGGGGUAGUUGGUACAUAGGGGACGUGGGGAUGAGGGUCCAGUAGAGCUCCCUGCCCCGUCCAGAGGGAGUGGAGUGGGAGGGGAGCGAACGCGUUGGUGACGCGGGGCGCUCACGUGACGUGGAGCUGCAGAGCAACUCAGCCUUCGGUGCAGUCGUCACUCCCGUCUGGGUACCUGCUCCCAGCUGUUCUGCGCCCGGCGGGCUGGCAUCAGUCCCGAGGAAAGCGGAGCAGGACUGCAGGCCUAGGUGUCAAGUGUCGCGGCGGCGCCCACACGGCGAGAAUCGGGAGAAGGAGGAGACAGCAAGGAUAGGCCCAGGUCGGUGCGGGGGACAGAGUGGGGGUCGGGUGCAGAGCCGAGUUUGAGACCCCCUCCCAUCUACGUCAUCCCCUGUCCCCCAUCCUCCAUUUUGGUGACUGCAGAAGCCUGGGGAUGGAACUGUAGGAAAAUGGUGGGUUUGGAGGGAGGUAAGACAGAGAAGAGAGAGAAGGGGGAGGGUCCGAACUGGAGGCCCCCUAGAGGGCGCACAAGGCUUUUCAGGUAGGAAAAUGAAAUUUUUAAAAACCGUU